AGUUUGAUCCUGGCUCAGGAUGAACGCUAGCUACAGGCUUAACACAUGCAAGUCGAGGGGAAACGAUAGAGAAAGCUUGCUUUUUCUAGGCGUCGACCGGCGCACGGGUGAGUAACGCGUAUCCAACCUGCCCACCACUUGGGAAUAACCUUGCGAAAGUAAGACUAAUACCCAAUGACGUCUCUAGAAGACAUCUGAAAGAGAUUAAAGAUUUAUCGGUGAUGGAUGGGGAUGCGUCUGAUUAGCUUGUUGGCGGGGUAACGGCCCACCAAGGCGACGAUCAGUAGGGGUUCUGAGAGGAAGGUCCCCCACAUUGGAACUGAGACACGGUCCAAACUCCUACGGGAGGCAGCAGUGAGGAAUAUUGGUCAAUGGGCGAGAGCCUGAACCAGCCAAGUAGCGUGCAGGAAGACGGCCCUAUGGGUUGUAAACUGCUUUUAUAAGGGAAUAAAGUGAGUCUCGUGAGACUUUUUGCAUGUACCUUAUGAAUAAGGACCGGCUAAUUCCGUGCCAGCAGCCGCGGUAAUACGGAAGGUCCGGGCGUUAUCCGGAUUUAUUGGGUCUAAAGGGAGCGUAGGCCGGAGAUUAAGCGCGUUGUGAAAUGUAGACGCUCAACGUCUGCACUGCAGCGCGAACUGGUUUCCUUGAGUACGCACAAAGUGGGCGGAAUUCGUGGUGUAGCGGUGAAAUGCUUAGAUAUCACGAAGAACUCCGAUUGCGAAGGCAGCUCACUGGAGCGCAACUGACGCUGAAGCUCGAAAGUGCGGGUAUCGAACAGGAUUAGAUACCCUGGUAGUCCGCACGGUAAACGAUGGAUGCCCGCUGUUGGCCUGAAUAGGUCAGCGGCCAAGCGAAAGCAUUAAGCAUCCCACCUGGGGAGUACGCCGGCAACGGUGAAACUCAAAGGAAUUGACGG
RNAcentral lists this ribosomal RNA (916 nucleotides) under uncultured bacterium. RNAcentral describes it as "bacterial SSU rRNA". It matches the Rfam family "Bacterial small subunit ribosomal RNA", at positions 10 to 916 of the family's 1533-position model. The record is from RNAcentral.